GACGAACGCUGGCGGCGUGCUUAACACAUGCAAGUCGAACGGGCCUUGUCCCCUUUUUUUUGGGGGUGGGGUUAGUGGCGAACGGGUGAGUAACACGUGAGUAACCUGCCCCUCACUUCUGGAUAACCGCUUGAAAGGGUGGCUAUUACGGGGUGUUCUGGCCUGCUCGCAUGGGUGGGUUUGGAAAGAUUCGACCGGUUUUGGUUGUUUUGGUGGGGGAUGGGCUCGCGGCCUAUCAGCUUGUUGGUGGGGUGAUGGCCUGCCAAGGCUUUGACGGGUAGCCGGCCUGAGAGGGUGGGCGGUCACACUGGGACUGAGACACGGCCCAGACUCCUACGGGAGGCAGCAGUGGGGAAUAGUGCACAAUGGGCGAAAGCCUGAUGCAGCGACGCCGCGUGAGGGAUGGAGGCCUUCGGGUUGUGAACCUCUUUCGCCAGUGAAGAAGGUCCUGCUCUUUGUGGUGGGGUUGACGGUAGCUGGGUUAAUGAAGCGCCGGCUAACUACGUG
RNAcentral lists this ribosomal RNA (507 nucleotides) under uncultured bacterium. RNAcentral's name for it is "partial 16S ribosomal RNA". It matches the Rfam family "Bacterial small subunit ribosomal RNA", at positions 28 to 507 of the family's 1533-position model. The record is from RNAcentral.